This 78-nucleotide transfer RNA is filed under the name Chloroflexota bacterium. RNAcentral's name for it is "Chloroflexi bacterium (marine metagenome) tRNA-Pro". It matches the Rfam family "tRNA". Rfam says of the family: Transfer RNA (tRNA) molecules are approximately 80 nucleotides in length. Their secondary structure includes four short double-helical elements and three loops (D, anti-codon, and T loops). RNAcentral also lists the same sequence under 1 other name. Lineage: Bacteria; Bacillati; Chloroflexota. The record is from RNAcentral.
CGGGGCGUGGCGCAGCCCGGCUAGCGCGCACCGUUCGGGUCGGUGAGGUCGGAGGUUCAAAUCCUCUCGCCCCGACAA